GAUGAAGAACGCAGCGAAAUGCGAUACUUGGUGUGAAUUGCAGAAUCCCGUGAACCAUCGAGUCUUUGAACGCAAGUUGCGCCCGAAGCCAUCAGGUUGAGGGCACGUCUGCCUGGGCGUCACAUAUCGUUGCUCGAUGCCUAUCGCAUUGCGAUAGGACUUAGGGCGAAUGAUGGCUUCCCGUGAGCGUUGUUGCCUCGCGGUUGGUUGAAAAUCGAGUCCUUGGUAGGGUGUGCCAUGAUAGAUGGUGGUCGAGUUAGCACGAGACCGCUCAUGUGCAUGCUCCCCAAAAUAUGGCCUCUGUGACCCACACGCGUCUUUUGACGCUCAUGACGAGACCUCAGGUCAGGCGGGGCUACCCGCUGAAUUUAAGCAUAUCAAUAAGCGGAGGA
RNAcentral lists this unclassified non-coding RNA (392 nucleotides) under soil metagenome. RNAcentral describes it as "partial contains 5.8S ribosomal RNA, internal transcribed spacer 2, and large subunit ribosomal RNA". The stretch from base 1 to 122 matches the Rfam family "5.8S ribosomal RNA", at positions 35 to 154 of the family's 154-position model. The record is from RNAcentral.